RNAcentral lists this ribosomal RNA (251 nucleotides) under uncultured bacterium. RNAcentral describes it as "partial 16S ribosomal RNA". It matches the Rfam family "Bacterial small subunit ribosomal RNA", at positions 524 to 776 of the family's 1533-position model. The record is from RNAcentral.
UACGUAGGGGGCUAGCGUUGUCCGGAAUCAUUGGGCGUAAGCGCGUGUAGGCGGUCCGGUAAGUCCGCUGUGAAAGUCGGGGGCUCAACCCUCGGAUGCCGGUGGAUACUGUCGGGCUUGAGUACGGAAGAGGCGAGUGGAAUUCCUGGUGUAGCGGUGAAAUGCGCAGAUAUCAGGAGGAACACCAAUUGCGAAGGCAGCUCGCUGGGACGUACUGACGCUGAGACGCGAAAGCGUGGGGAGCAAACAGG